RNAcentral lists this ribosomal RNA (468 nucleotides) under uncultured bacterium. RNAcentral describes it as "partial 16S ribosomal RNA". It matches the Rfam family "Bacterial small subunit ribosomal RNA", at positions 28 to 507 of the family's 1533-position model. The record is from RNAcentral.
GACGAACGCUGGCGGCGUGCUUAACACAUGCAAGUCGAACGGAAAGGCCCUGCUUUUGUGGGGUGCUCGAGUGGCGAACGGGUGAGUAACACGUGAGUAACCUGCCCUUGACUUUGGGAUAACUUCAGGAAACUGGGGCUAAUACCGGAUAGGAGCUCCUGCUGCAUGGUGGGGGUUGGAAAGUUUCGGCGGUUGGGGAUGGACUCGCGGCUUAUCAGCUUGUUGGUGGGGUAGUGGCUUACCAAGGCUUUGACGGGUAGCCGGCCUGAGAGGGUGACCGGAAACAUUGGGACUGAGAUACGGCCCAGACGCCUACGGGAGGCAGAAGUGGGGAAUAUUGCACAAUGGGCGGAAGCCUGAUGCAGCAACGCCGCGUGCGGGAUGACGGCCUUCGGGUUGUAAACCGCUUUCGCCUGUGACGAAGCGUGAGUGACGGUAAUGGGUAAAGAAGCACCGGCUAACUACGUG